This 492-nucleotide ribosomal RNA is filed under the name uncultured bacterium. Its description in RNAcentral is "partial 16S ribosomal RNA". It matches the Rfam family "Bacterial small subunit ribosomal RNA", at positions 29 to 507 of the family's 1533-position model. The record is from RNAcentral.
AGUGAACGCUGGCGGUAGGCCUAACUCAUGCAAGUCGAACGGCAGCACUGUAAGAGCUUGCUCUUACGGGUGGCGAGUGGCGGACGGGUGAGGAAUACAUCGGAAUCUACUUUUUCGUGGGGGAUAACGUAGGGAAACUUACGCUAAUACCGCAUACGACCUACGGGUGAAAGCAGGGGAUCUUCGGACCUUGCGCGAUUGAAUGAGCCGAUGUCGGAUUAGCUAGUUGGCGGGGUAAAGGCCCACCAAGGCGACGAUCCGUAGCUGGUCUGAGAGGAUGAUCAGCCACACUGGAACUGAGACACGGUCCAGACUCCUACGGGAGGCAGCAGUGGGGAAUAUUGGACAAUGGGCGCAAGCCUGAUCCAGCCAUACCGCGUGGGUGAAGAAGGCCUUCGGGUUGUAAAGCCCUUUUGUUGGGAAAGAAAAGCAGCAGGUUAAUACCCCGCUGUUCUGACGGUACCCAAAGAAUAAGCACCGGCUAACUUCGUG